Pelobates cultripes (western spadefoot toad) is the source of this 219-nucleotide non-coding RNA. Lineage: Eukaryota; Metazoa; Chordata; Amphibia; Anura; Pelobatidae. The record is from the annotation of a GenBank genome assembly.
GUGAGGGGGUGACUAGUGGCAGAGUGAGGGAAGGAAGGAGUGACUAGUGACAGAGUGAGGGAGGUGGUGACUGUCACUAGUCAUCACCUCCCUCACUCUGUCACUAGUCACCACCUCCCUCUGUCACUACUCCCUCCCUCCUUCUGUCACUACUCCCUCCCUUCUUCUGUCACUAGUCACCCCCUCCCUCACUCUGUCACCAGUCAUCCCCUCCCUCAC